UUGGAGGGCAAGUCUGGUGCCAGCAGCCGCGGUAAUUCCAGCUCCAAUAGCGUAUAUUAAAGUUGUUGCAGUUAAAAAGCUCGUAGUUGAAUUUCGGGAUUGGCGUGUCGGUCGUGCCUUACGGGGUAUGAACUGGCGUCGUCGAUUUCUCACCUUCUGGAGAAUCACGAUGCCCUUAAUUGGGUGUCGUGUGGAACCAGGACCUUUACCUUGAAAAAAUUAGAGUGUUUAAAGCAGGCAUUUUGCUCGAAUACAUUAGCAUGGAAUAAUAAAAUAGGACGGCUUGGUUCUAUUUUGUUGGUUUCUAGGAUCACCGUAAUGAUUAAUAGGGAUAGUUGGGGGCAUUAGUAUUCAAUUGUCAGAGGUGAAAUUCUUGGAUUUAUUGAAGACUAACUACUGCGAAAGCAUUUGCCAAGGAUGUUUUCAUUAACCAAGAACGAAAGUUAGGGGAUCGAAGACGAUCAGAUACCGUCGUAGUCUUAACCAUAAACUAUGCCGACUAGGAAUCAGACGAUGUUAAUUUUUUAAUGACUCGUUUGGCACCUUACGGGAAAC
RNAcentral lists this ribosomal RNA (555 nucleotides) under uncultured Glomus. Its description in RNAcentral is "SSU rRNA". It matches the Rfam family "Eukaryotic small subunit ribosomal RNA", at positions 548 to 1098 of the family's 1831-position model. Lineage: Eukaryota; Fungi; Glomeromycota; Glomeromycetes; Glomerales; Glomeraceae. The record is from RNAcentral.